ACCCCUGACCGCUGACCAGGCUGGGGUCAUAAUAGGUUACAUAUUCUCUUAUGUCAAACUUAAACAAAUAUUCAAAGGUUUUCAUGUAUUCAAUGGAAUCUGUAGGACCUAAUAAACAAUUUGCAGGUGAAAAUAUUCACAGAUACAGAGAUUUUUGCAAAAAAAAAAAUGUGGUUAUUGUUUUCUGGAAAACACGAAAAAAUAUACUUAUUUGAAAUAAGCAGUCUGAAAUUAUGUUUGUACUGUGUCUGUCUCUUUAAGGCACAGGCUCAGAGUUAGUGUGCUGGGGGAAAACAGGCCUGCAUUUUACAAUACAGGAAGAAGCCUUUCUAAUGGCUUUCUUUUCAGACUUGAAAUGGUACUAUUAUGAUGUCCAAAAACUCUAUAAAUCAGUCUUUUGGAAGUUGCUCAACUUUUCCAGAAAACACUUACUGUGUUCUUUUCUGCAAAAAUCACCAUGUCUGUGAAUAUUUUUGCCUGCAAAUCAUUGAUUAUGUCCUAUAGAUUCCACUGAUACAUGAAAACCUCUAAAUAUUUGGUUAAGUUUGACAAAAGAGAAAGUAUAACCUAAAUUUGUGGCAUUACAGCCAUACCAAUACCAAUGACUGCGACUUUUUGGCCUCUACAAGAAUAUCAUCUCUAAUUUGCCCCAGUUUACUGCAUCCGUACCAUAAAGAUUAACGAACACUUGAAACUUGGUAUAAUGUAUUGCAAGUUAGAUGCAGUUAUAUGCUAGCUGCUGUUUGCUCUUUCACCUGGACUACCUGGACCAUAUAGCAUUGCCUUCUCCUGUCCUUUGUGUCAGUUAUCCAUUUAGAUCCUCGCCUGUCAGGUCUCUGAAAAAUGAUGUACAAAAUGGACUUAAUGAAGAAGAAAUUGUUGUGAGGGAUUCACAAUGCAGAAGUUGCAGGUUAUGCCCAGAAAGGAUUCUGAACAAGACGCCCAAUGCAGACGCAAAAAUGUAGCGCAAAACACAAACUGAGCACUCAUUGGGUUAACUCAAACAACAAGAGAAAACGGCAAAGGGUCUUCUCUUGUCACCACAGGCGAGUGUUCAUGUGCACCUAGCCUACAAGCCGCACACCCGUCAGAGAGGCUGCUGAAGUAAGCUUAAUACCCAUGUUUUGGGCCAAGUGCAGGCAGGGAAGCAUCCAGACCCAAUAGGUUAAAAAGUGGUACAUUAAUUUGAAAUCUGAGAAAAGAGAUGUGUUCAUAAUUAUCACCUUGCCACUGCAUAGGUCUAGAAAUAUUUCCCCUAUUUUCACUAAGCCCGAUCCUUGUUAACCCAUUGUCGCCGGGGAUGGCAUGUACAUACAUGCCAUGCCCACUGUGAGUCGACUUGUUUGAUUGUUUUUACACAAGGAUGGCUACACUUGUACUAAGUAUCCAAUGAGCCAAUUACGAGUACUGCCUGUCUCGCCCGUUCGUCCUUUUCAUCGAUUUACAAAAAUAUGUAACGUUAUCCUAAUUUGCUGUUGAAAAUAACACCAUCUAUAUUUAUAGCACUAGUAAAAAUAUGUUUUUCCCGCCAAUUCAAGGAAAGGUGAAAUCAGGACUAGCAGAGCCAUCUAUGGACAGAGAUAUUGCACAAAAAUAUAAAAAAUGAGUACUGCAUUUCCCCCAUUUUUUGUUCAUUUUCCCCGGCGGCAAUGGGUUAACCUAUUGGAUCCUGGUGCCUCACAUGGCAUUACUCUUACCUGAGUGGUAACUCAGGCUUGCCUCCUCUUUGCAAUGUUAUCUCUUUUUCUGCAGAAGCAUUUUUUGUCAUUUUGCCAUUUUCUAAGGUCUAUAUUUGUCAGUUUUUCCAUGAAGGCACAUUUAUGUCACCCAGUCGUUAAUCAAAUUUUUUCAUGAUGUGACAGUCACAUCACCCAUAUCCACUUGGUUAAUACCCUAAUGUUAGCCAAGGUUGAACUGUCAAAAAUGUUUUUGACUUUAUCUUGUGUAGCCUUUGAAAAAUAAAAUUCUUAAUAGAAUAUGUAUUUCAAUAAGUCAUUUUGCCCAAUAGUUUAGAUAAAUGUAUUUCCACAUUUC
This is a long non-coding RNA of Penaeus indicus, 2034 nucleotides long. RefSeq lists it as uncharacterized. The record is from RefSeq and is a predicted model, not a curated record. The transcript is spliced from 4 exons. Lineage: Eukaryota; Metazoa; Arthropoda; Malacostraca; Decapoda; Penaeidae.